This is a long non-coding RNA of Brassica napus (rape), 873 nucleotides long. RefSeq lists it as uncharacterized. Lineage: Eukaryota; Viridiplantae; Streptophyta; Magnoliopsida; Brassicales; Brassicaceae. The record is from RefSeq and is a predicted model, not a curated record. The transcript is spliced from 2 exons.
AUAUCUCAGAUUCCAACGAACUCUUUUUUUUUUUUUUUUUUUUUUUUGUUCAAAUACUGAGAAGAGUGGACUUAGAAGAGAAAGCACAGUAAGGUAUGUAAUAUAUAAUCCACAUGAAUUUUGAUUUUAUAUGAAAAAUUUACACCGUAGGACACAUUUUGACUUUUGAAUUACAUGAAAAGGCACAUGUUGCCUGAGACACACAUUUGUUGUGUUAUUUGUCGUUUCUACCCUUUCUCUCCGUUAACUGUAUUUUUUCUAUAACAAGUCAGCUAACUAUACAACUAAAAUAGAUAAUAUAUAUUUAUUUUUAAAAAGGUUUGAACCAAUCAUCAUCAUCUCUCUCGUGGAUGGAACCACACUUUCUCUCUCUCUCUCGUUUAGCUUCAUCAAAGGGUUCCGGCAAAGGGUUUGAACCAGUCAUCAAGUCGUUUAGCUCCGGCAAAAGUCUCCGUUCUUCACCACGAUGAACCUCUGGCGCCAUAAACGUCACCGCAAACCCUCAGCUACGACGAGCAACCUUUGGCGCAUCUGGAGCCAUAAACGCCGCCGAAAUCCUCUUUCGUCACCAUAUGAGUCGCCAAUUUCAAUCCUUCUCGAUUAUAAAUUAAAGUUGAUUCCAAAGAGAUCUCCUAUGGAAACAAGUUGAGCAAACAAAAGGAGAUGGGUUGUUUAUUGGGUUGUCAAUGAUUGUGAUGACACAUCUCUUGGAUCAGUUUCUGGGUCUAUUAACACAAGGUGAUAAUGAAGUCCGAGGAGGUCCUUGAGACCAACAAUGGUGAAGUUUCAGAGUUUUGCAUUUCUAAUCCUUAUAUUUUUACUAUUAACGAUUUUACCUCAAAAUUAUUAAAAUGUUCAGAACAAUCUUCUUGA